AGUUGGUAGGGUAAGAGCCUACCAAGGCGACGAUGGAUAGCCGGCCUGAGAGGGUGAUCGGCCACACUGGGACUGAGACACGGCCCAGACUCCUACGGGAGGCAGCAGCUAAGAAUCUUCCGCAAUGGGCGAAAGCCUGACGGAGCGACGCCGCGUGGACGAAGAAGGCCGAAAGGUUGUAGAGUCCUUUUCUUAGGGAAGAAUAAUGUAAAGAAUGGAAUGCUUUACAGAUGACAUUAUCUGAGGAAUAAGCCCCGGCCAAUUACGUGCCAGCAGCCGCGGUAAUACGUAUGGGGCGAGCGUUGUUCGGAAUUAUUGGGCGUAAAGGGCGUGUAGGCGGUUUUAUAAGCCUGGUGUGAAAUCCCACAGCUCAACUGUGGAGACGCGCUGGGAACUGUAAGACUGGAGUUCAGGAGGGGAUGCUGGAAUUCCUGGUGUAGGGGUGAAAUCUGUAGAUAUCAGGAAGAACACCGAUGGCGAAGGCAAGCAUCUGGCCAUGGACUGACGCUGAGGCGCGAAAGCGUGGGGAGCGAACAGGAUUAGAUACCCUGGUAGUCCACGCUGUAAACGAUGUGCACUGGGUGUAGGAGGCGUUGAGCUUUCUGUGCCGUAGCUAACGCGUUAAGUGCACCGCCUGGGGAGUAUGCUCGCAAGGGUGAAACUCAAAGGAAUUGACGGGGGCCCGCACAAGCGGUGGAGCAUGUGGUUUAAUUCGACGAUACGCGAGGAACCUUACCAGGGCUUGACAUGUACUUGAAGGCUUAAGAGAUUAAGUCGACCUUUAGGGGACGGGUACACAGGUGCUGCAUGGUUGUCGUCAGCUCGUGUCGUGAGAUGUUGGGUUAAGCCCGCAACGAGCGCAACCCUUACUGUCUGUUGCCAGCAGGCCUUCGGGCGCUGGGGACUCAGGCAGAACUGCCGGUGACAAACCGGAGGAAGGUGGGGAUGACGUCAAAUCAUCAUGGCCCUUAUGUCCUGGGCUACACACGUGCUACAAUGGCCGGUACAAAGCGUUGCAAGACGGUGACGUCCUUAGCAAAUCGCAAAAAGCCGGUCUCAGUUCGGAUUGGAGUCUGAAACCCGACUCCAUGAAGUUGGAAUCGCUAGUAAUCGCGCAUCAGAAUGGCGCGGUGAAUAUGUUCCCGGGCCUUGUACACACCGCCCGUCACACCACCCGAGUUGGGGGUACCCGAAGUCGCUAGUCUAACUUUUAGAGGACGGUGCCGAAGGUAUGCCUGGUAAGGGGGGUGAAGUCGUAACAAGGUAGCCGUACCGGAAGGUGCGGCUG
This 1288-nucleotide ribosomal RNA is filed under the name metagenome. Its description in RNAcentral is "bacterial SSU rRNA". It matches the Rfam family "Bacterial small subunit ribosomal RNA", at positions 247 to 1520 of the family's 1533-position model. The record is from RNAcentral.